This 117-nucleotide non-coding RNA is filed under the name Fictibacillus enclensis. RNAcentral's name for it is "SAM-I sequence". It matches the Rfam family "SAM riboswitch aptamer (S box leader)". Rfam says of the family: The SAM riboswitch is found upstream of a number of genes which code for proteins involved in methionine or cysteine biosynthesis in Gram-positive bacteria. The SAM riboswitch acts at the level of transcription termination control. The record is from Rfam by way of RNAcentral. Lineage: Bacteria; Bacillati; Bacillota; Bacilli; Caryophanales; Fictibacillaceae.
UUCUUAUCCAGAGAGGUUAAGGGAAUGGCCCGUUGACACCUCAGCAACCUUCAGCGAUUACGAGCUGAAAAGGUGCUAAGUCCAACAAGUUCGAUUGCAGAACUUGAAAGAUAAGAA